GUGGGGAAUAUUGGACAAUGGGCGAAAGUCUGAUCCAGCCAUGCCGCGUGUGUGAAGAAGGUCUUCGGAUUGUAAAGCACUUUAAGUUGGGAGGAAGGGCAGUAAGUUAAUACCUUGCUGUUUUGACGUUACCGACAGAAUAAGCACCGGCUAACUUCGUGCCAGCAGCCGCGGUAAUACGAAGGGUGCAAGCGUUAAUCGGAAUUACUGGGCGUAAAGCGCGCGUAGGUGGUUUUGUAAGUUGGAGGUGAAAUCCCCGGGCUCAACCUGGGAACUGCCUCCAAAACUGCAUGACUAGAGUACGGUAGAGGGUAGUGGAAUUUCCUGUGUAGCGGUGAAAUGCGUAGAUAUAGGAAGGAACACCAGUGGCGAAGGCGACUACCUGGACUGAUACUGACACUGAGGUGCGAAAGCGUGGGGAGCAAACAGGAUUAGAUACCCCUGUAGUCC
RNAcentral lists this ribosomal RNA (450 nucleotides) under uncultured bacterium. RNAcentral's name for it is "bacterial SSU rRNA". It matches the Rfam family "Bacterial small subunit ribosomal RNA", at positions 354 to 796 of the family's 1533-position model. The record is from RNAcentral.